This 567-nucleotide ribosomal RNA is filed under the name Candida tropicalis. RNAcentral describes it as "eukaryotic LSU rRNA". It matches the Rfam family "Eukaryotic large subunit ribosomal RNA", at positions 74 to 657 of the family's 3401-position model. The record is from RNAcentral. Lineage: Eukaryota; Fungi; Ascomycota; Pichiomycetes; Serinales; Debaryomycetaceae.
AUUGCCUUAGUAGCGGCGAGUGAAGCGGCAAAAGCUCAAAUUUGAAAUCUGGCUCUUUCAGAGUCCGAGUUGUAAUUUGAAGAAGGUAUCUUUGGGUCUGGCUCUUGUCUAUGUUUCUUGGAACAGAACGUCACAGAGGGUGAGAAUCCCGUGCGAUGAGAUGAUCCAGGCCUAUGUAAAGUUCCUUCGAAGAGUCGAGUUGUUUGGGAAUGCAGCUCUAAGUGGGUGGUAAAUUCCAUCUAAAGCUAAAUAUUGGCGAGAGACCGAUAGCGAACAAGUACAGUGAUGGAAAGAUGAAAAGAACUUUGAAAAGAGAGUGAAAAAGUACGUGAAAUUGUUGAAAGGGAAGGGCUUGAGAUCAGACUUGGUAUUUUGUAUGUUACUUCUUCGGGGGUGGCCUCUACAGUUUAUCGGGCCAGCAUCAGUUUGGGCGGUAGGAGAAUUGCGUUGGAAUGUGGCACGGCYUCGGUUGUGUGUUAUAGCCUUCGUCGAUACUGCCAGCCUAGACUGAGGACUGCGGUUUAUACCUAGGAUGUUGGCAUAAUGAUCUUAAGUCGCCCGUCUUGA